UUGCGCUGCUGUCUCUGCAGAGGCUUCAUUGCGCUUGAAAACAAGACAUUUAUCAUUGAGCCGGUGUCUGGGCAUGACAACGGUGCCCACUUCAUCUACCGAGUGGAAGAACUCGCACUGACCCCAGGAGCCUGCGGCCACGGCUUCAACAUGUCCUCUGUUGCCCCUGAAAACCACAGCAAAAGCCCCUUUCAAUCCUUCCACACGAGGCAUAAAAGGCAGGUUCAGAAGACAACCAAGUACGUUGAGCUGAUCAUUGUUGCAGACAACAGAGAGUUUCAGAAACAGGGGAGGGAUGUGGAGAAGGUGAAACAGAGACUGGCAGAGAUAGCCAAUUACGUGGACAAGCUGAAACCAGCUGGCACCAUGUGUCGAGAUUCUAGUAACUCAUGUGACCUGCCAGAGUUUUGUACUGGUGCAAACCCUCACUGCCCAGCCAACGUUUAUCUGCAUGAUGGACAUGCCUGCCACAGCGUUGAAGGCUACUGCUACAAUGGCAUCUGCCAAACUCAUGAGCAACAAUGCAUCACCCUGUGGGGACCAGGGGCCAAGCCUGCCCCUGGGAUAUGCUUUGAGCGAGUCAACUCCGCAGGUGAUCCUUAUGGGAACUGUGGGAAGGACUCCAAAGGCUCCUUUGCCAAAUGUGAUGCAAGGGACGCAAAAUGUGGCAAAAUUCAGUGCCAGGGAGGAGCCAACCGGCCAGUGAUCGGAACAAACGCUGUUUCCAUUGAAACCAACAUCCCGCUUCAAGAAGGAGGGCGAAUCCUGUGUCGAGGAACUCAUGUUUAUCUGGGCGAUGACAUGCCUGAUCCUGGGCUGGUUCUGGCUGGUACAAAGUGUGGAGACGGCAUGGUGUGCCUGAAUCGCGAGUGCCAGAAUGUCAGUGUCUUUGGUGUGCAUGAGUGCUCUGGGAAGUGCAAUGGACGUGGGGUGUGCAACAACAAGAUGAACUGCCACUGUGAAGCACACUGGGCCCCUCCGUUCUGUGGGAAAGCAGGCUUCGGUGGGAGCAUCGACAGUGGGCCAAUGAGACUAGCAGCCGACAGUGUGGUCAUUACUGUGGCAAUCCUGGUUACCCUGGUCAGCCUUCUGGUAACCACCGUCAUCAUCUUUCUGAAGAGAAAGACUCUGCUGCGCCUCAUCUUCACCAAUAAGAAAAGCACCUUGGAGAAACUCAGAUCUGUGGAGGCCAACAGGCCAACCAGCCCCAUCAGGACUCCGUCAAUGUACAGGCCCACCCCACAGCGCAAGCCUCCACCCAAACCCUCUGCAGCCAACAUUUAUAAGGUGAGUCACUCCCUACAAUAA
RNAcentral lists this long non-coding RNA (1308 nucleotides) under Sander lucioperca (pikeperch). RNAcentral describes it as "lncRNA (ENSSLUG00000023173.1)". Lineage: Eukaryota; Metazoa; Chordata; Actinopteri; Perciformes; Percidae. The record is from RNAcentral.